Molecule: ribosomal RNA, 169 nt
Filed under: uncultured bacterium
Lineage: Bacteria
Description: partial 16S rRNA
Rfam family: Bacterial small subunit ribosomal RNA
Source: RNAcentral
GGGAGGCAGCAGUGGGGAAUUUUCCGCAAUGGGCGAAAGCCUGACGGAGCAAUACCGCGUGAGGGAUGACGGCCUGUGGGUUGUAAACCUCUUUUCUCAAGGAAGAAGUUCUGACGGUACUUGAGGAAUAAGCAUCGGCUAACUCUGUGCCAGCAGCCGCGGUAAUACA